This 353-nucleotide long non-coding RNA is filed under the name Medicago truncatula (barrel medic). RNAcentral's name for it is "lncRNA gene14910". The record is from RNAcentral. Lineage: Eukaryota; Viridiplantae; Streptophyta; Magnoliopsida; Fabales; Fabaceae.
AGAACCUUCAGGUUAUCAUCACGAGGCUCAAAGGGUCAUCGCGAAAUGAAAGGGUUGUGUGUGAGAGUGAGAAGAAAACGCGAGCAACAAGAAGAGGAACGUGAUUCAGAUUGAAAACUAUUAUGAAAAGAGAACAUCAUGGGAAUGAUUAAACCCCUUUUGAUUCAGAUUCGCUAUUACUAUCCACACGUUAGUUCCUUUGUUCUUGCAGCUUCAAACGCUUUCUUCUCUCAAUCGUCAUUGCCGCUUUCUCGCUACCCUAAUUUUUCACUUACCGCCGUUCGCUACCCUCAUUUUAUAUUUGCUCUUUGAGAAUCGCCGUUGACACAUUAGGUUUGGCUGAGACACACGGG